This 497-nucleotide ribosomal RNA is filed under the name uncultured bacterium. RNAcentral's name for it is "partial 16S ribosomal RNA". It matches the Rfam family "Bacterial small subunit ribosomal RNA", at positions 28 to 507 of the family's 1533-position model. The record is from RNAcentral.
GAUGAACGCUGGCGGCGUGCCUAAUACAUGCAAGUCGAGCGGACAGACGUGUUGCUUGCCUCUCUGACGUUAGCGGCGGACGUGUGAGUAACACGCGGAUACCCUCCCUAUAAGAAUGGGAUCGCUUCGGGAAACCGGAGCUAAUACCAGAUAAUGUAUUGAACCGCAUGGUUCAAUAGUUCAAGAGGGUUUUGCUGCCACUGAUAGAUGAAUCCGCGCGGCAUGAGCUAGUUGGCAAGGUAAAGGCUUACCAAGUCGACGAUGCGGAGCCGGCCUGAGAGGGUGAUCGGCCACACUGGAACUGAGACACGGUCCAGACUCCUACGGGAGGCAGCAGUAGGGAAUCUUCCGCAAUGGGCGAAAGCCUGACGGAGCAACGCCGCGUGAGUGAUGAAGGUCUUCGGAUCGUAAAACUCUGUUAUUAGGGAAGAACAAAUGUGUAAGAAACUAUGCACGUCUUGACGGUACCUAAUCAGAAAGCCACGGCUAACUACGUG